GAACAUGCUGUGAAUUAGCUGUGAUUUCUCCUUCUCCCUAGGAUGUGAAUUCUCUUCUAAGAAGUUAUGUCAAGGCAAUAGAAAGGAAUAGCCCCAUUGUGCGGAGUCAGACCUUGAAACUGAAACAGCCGCAAACUAUCCCAAAAAGAAGAAGAAGAAUGUUCCAAGCUCAGGAUAUGAAAGGCAUGCUGCAAGCAUAUCUAGGGCUCAUGGAUCUCCGGCGAUACUGGGGUAAGGAGAAACCACAGCGCCAUAAGCCCCUCUCCUCUCAAUGUCUUCCAGAAUGUAUUUCUCUGUUAAGUCUCAUGUUUCAUGUAGCUACGCCCACUAUGCAGAGCAAUCUGCCUCUCCUUGAGAGGAAAUGCUUCUCCACAUUUCUUCUCUCUUCCUCAUUUGCCUUCUGCUCUUUGUGUUACAAAUAAGCAGUAAUUUAUUUCAUCUGACUA
Molecule: long non-coding RNA, 446 nt
Filed under: Rattus norvegicus (Norway rat)
Lineage: Eukaryota; Metazoa; Chordata; Mammalia; Rodentia; Muridae
Description: long non-coding RNA NONRATT003025
Source: RNAcentral